AAAAGCAUCUAGGCAUCGGAAGGAUCCAGAAGAGCAAGUCCGAAAACAGAUUCCUUGCAGGGCUCAGAAGAUGUCGAAGUCCUUCAUUCACACCAAGAAGUCCACAGUCGUGGGAAAGAGGUGGAGCAGAGAGAUUCCUUACGGUACUGAUGUUCCUUAGAGCCUUAAUGGCUCGGUCAAGCAAGACAACAAAGACAAGAGCCGCAUGCUCGCAGAGGUGGGGCGGCUGUAGAGCAACGGACGCCCCUGGUUGAUGAGCGCUGCCGCUCUAUUUUGGUUGCCCUGGCUGCUUGGCAGCCCGAGGCGUGCGGCUGGAGCUCGUCACUCUCCCAUACAUCAAAAAUCUUGCGCGGUGCGAUUUGUGUUGAGACUCUGACUGGGAAUCAGCAGACCCCAAAUCAAAUUUCUUGUCGGGAGGCCAUCACCAAACAAGGACGUAUGGUUUUUGUCUGGUAUGCAAGUCAUGUAUUCAUAUACAGCCCGGCUCUCCUUAUGCUUGUCUUGGCGAUGCUAGCCUGAUUGGUCACAUAUAUCUCUAGAAGGCAUUUCCGAUGCAUCCUAUUUCUAAAAAGUGUUCCCAUUCAACUAUUGGCUCCGCAACCAUUGUCUUAAACAUUUCCACCCCUCCUAGAGUGAUGAUUGCACUUUCGAGCAUUUCUGUUGCUACAUGAGAAAGCUAGUUAUUUA
Long non-coding RNA from Lolium perenne, 687 nucleotides. RefSeq lists it as uncharacterized. Lineage: Eukaryota; Viridiplantae; Streptophyta; Magnoliopsida; Poales; Poaceae. The record is from RefSeq and is a predicted model, not a curated record.